RNAcentral lists this unclassified non-coding RNA (229 nucleotides) under plant metagenome. RNAcentral describes it as "partial contains small subunit ribosomal RNA, internal transcribed spacer 1, and 5.8S ribosomal RNA". The record is from RNAcentral.
UCUCCGUAGGUGAACCUGCGGAGGGAUCAUUACAGAGUUCUCGCCCUCGCGGGUAGGUCUCCCACCCACUGUUAUCGUUACUGUGUUGCUUUGGCGGGCCGCCGGGCCCCGCUCGGCCGCCGGCUCCGGCUGGCGCGCGCCCGCCAGAGGCCCAGCAAACUCUGAAUGUUAGUGUCGUCUGAGUACUAUAUAAUAGUUAAAACUUUCAACAACGGAUCUCUUGGUUCUG